This 805-nucleotide long non-coding RNA is filed under the name Prunus dulcis (almond). RNAcentral describes it as "sRNA ncRNA". The record is from RNAcentral. Lineage: Eukaryota; Viridiplantae; Streptophyta; Magnoliopsida; Rosales; Rosaceae.
UUAUUAUAUGAAGUUCAUUUUUUGAUAUUAUCGUACACAAACUUUCGUUUCGGUAUCAUUUUCAUACAUCCGGUAGUCUAUUGGUUAAGGAAUUCGUUAACUUAUGACAUGGCAUAAAUGGGACAGCCAUUUUUGCAUGACUUGAUGAGAGCUUGCUACAUGGCCUGACAAAUUGUUUAAUUCUAAAGCAAGCAAAUUCAUAGCUGGCCUUUGAUUAUCCAGCCCUUACGGCAAAGCUAGUUUCUAUUAAGAAACAAAUGACAUGAAAUUAUUUGGUUACAACUUUGGACACCUCUAUAUGAAUGAAAGUGAGUUUUUAUCACAAACCCUUUUUCCAUUAAAGGCUCUGCAAUACAAUUCAAUGUUUACAUAACUUCAUAUGAAUCUAGUGGCUUGCAUAUAUAAUUGUUCAUCAACUGAACUGAGGCCAUUAUCGAUCACUGAAAGAGAUAGGCUUCAUGAUAGCUUAUAGCUUGUGUUGUUGUGCCUAAAAACUCUGAGAUCUUUUCAUCGAAAGACGGGCGAACGAAAUCCUCAUAAAGCUGUGCCUGCGCUUGUUCUUCGUUGAUUUUGUCCCACGCAACUGCUUCUGAUUUCUGAGAACACAAACAUCACCAUCGCAUAUGUAACGUUUGCUAUGCGUUUGAGAGGCUUCUGAAAAGCAGCUCAAGAUGUUUGAGAGCAAAGGCAAAGCCAUUGAUAGAGAUGAUUCGAAGCGUUUAACCCUAAGAUUUUUCUCUCUAUUUGCCAAAUCCAAAUACUUAUAUAUACACAGAGGACAGAACACAGAUAGAUUAGCUCUUGG